Molecule: small RNA, 624 nt
Filed under: Pan troglodytes (chimpanzee)
Lineage: Eukaryota; Metazoa; Chordata; Mammalia; Primates; Hominidae
Description: retained intron
Source: RNAcentral
CCGGCCUCAGUCUGUUGUGUCGAGCAUCUCACCCUCCUGCGAGUCAGGUCCUGACGGGCUGCUCACCCUCCGCCCACGGCCCUCCUCUGUAUCUGACUUGGCAGCUGGGGUGGGGCUGGGCUUCCACCUUUGAUCCCGGCUGGUCUUUUGCUGUGAUGGAUGACUGAUGACAAUGACAGGGACAGGGCUGCACUGGGAGGGAAGGUGGCAGGGCCAGAGAAGUGCAGGUCUCCUCAGGUGGCGCUAGUCCAGCGCGGGGCCUCGCGGCCUCCUCUUCUCUUGCCAGUGUCCUGGAGAAGAAGAGGCGGCUCCUGGAGAAGCUGCAGGAGCAGCUGGCGCAGCUGAGUGUGCAGGCCACGGACAAGGAGGAGAACAAGCAGGUGGCCCUGGGCACGUCCAAGCUCAACUACCUGGACCCCAGGAUCAGCAUUGCCUGGUGCAAGCGGUUCAGGGUGCCAGUGGAGAAGAUCUACAGCAAAACACAGCGGGAGAGGUUCGCCUGGGCUCUCGCCAUGGCAGGAGAAGACUUUGAAUUCUAACGACGAGCCGUGUUGAAACUUCUUUUGUAUGUGUGUGUGUUUUUUUCACUAUUAAAGCAGUACUGGGGAAUUUUGUACAAUAAAA